Long non-coding RNA from Zootoca vivipara (common lizard), 569 nucleotides. RefSeq lists it as uncharacterized. NCBI's taxonomy places the organism in Eukaryota, Metazoa, Chordata, Lepidosauria, Squamata, Lacertidae. The record is from RefSeq and is a predicted model, not a curated record.
CAAACCUGUUGCCUGGAUACCACUGUGGAAUGAAAACCAAGAGCAGCCCACAAAUAUGGAUGAACUCUUAGGAGCCAUUGGACAUCUGGAGCUCGCUUCCCAAAUAGCCCUGUAAUGCGUGCAACCACAUCUCUUCUGCUGGGUUACCAUAGAAAUAGAGGCACGGCCAGAGACGUCUGCAUUAAGCGAAGUGGCCGAGGAGCGAGUGCUUGAUUGGUCGGUCGCAGCAGUAGAGGAGCGGCGGAGGGUCAAGGAGAGAAUUCAACCGUUGAGAACGUGCUGUUUUCAGUAAGAAAUGCAGGGAAUGGAAUGCUGCAGAAUCCUUCUCCUGUCAGCUCCUUCUCAGAAUCAGCUGUUAAACAGACGACAUGCUCCAAAAAAGAAACAGCCUGCCUGAAGCAGCUUUAUUCCGUAAGUUGAAACAUCCCAUCUGUGCCACAUAAUUAACACUUUGUGAAUACUAGAGGGCUGUGAACUUUGUACAGACAAGCAUGGAUUCCGAGCCUUGCUAACACCGAUUGUUAAGCAUGUCAGCUGCUGCCCUGGGACAGUGCUUGGAAUGGUUUUUA